UGCCCAGCAACUCCUAUCCCUACCUCCUGGCGGUACUGGCCGGGGUACGAGUAACCUUAGGGAAGAUCGGGUAACCAACCCCCGGUGGGAACUUUGGUCGUAUGCUGACAGGGAAGG
This 117-nucleotide ribozyme is filed under the name Aedes aegypti (yellow fever mosquito). RNAcentral's name for it is "drz-agam-1 ribozyme". It matches the Rfam family "drz-agam-1 ribozyme". The record is from Rfam by way of RNAcentral. Lineage: Eukaryota; Metazoa; Arthropoda; Insecta; Diptera; Culicidae.